AGCGAACGCUGGCGGCAUGCCUAACACAUGCAAGUCGCACGGUCGGGGGGUGACCUUCGCAGUGGCGGACGGGUGAGUAACGCGUAGGGAUCUAUCCUUGGAUGGGGGACGAACCGCGGGAAACCGCGGCUAAUACCGCAUGAUGCCUGAGGGCCAAAGCUCGCGAGAGCGUCUGGGGAGGAGCCUGCGUCCGAUUAGCUAGUUGGUGGGGUAACGGCCACCAAGGCGUCGANCGGUAGCUGGUCUGAGAGGAUGAUCAGCCACACUGGGACUGAGACACGGCCCAGACUCCUACGGGAGGCAGCAGUGGGGAAUAUUGGACAAUGGGCGCAAGCCUGAUCCAGCAAUGCCGCGUGGGUGAAGAAGGUC
Molecule: ribosomal RNA, 369 nt
Filed under: uncultured bacterium
Lineage: Bacteria
Description: bacterial SSU rRNA
Rfam family: Bacterial small subunit ribosomal RNA
Source: RNAcentral